This 673-nucleotide ribosomal RNA is filed under the name uncultured bacterium. Its description in RNAcentral is "bacterial SSU rRNA". It matches the Rfam family "Bacterial small subunit ribosomal RNA", at positions 195 to 869 of the family's 1533-position model. The record is from RNAcentral.
GCAUGAUUAAAGGUAUUUUCCGGUAGACGAUGGGGAUGCGUUCCAUUAGAUAGUAGGCGGGGUAACGGCCCACCUAGUCAACGAUGGAUAGGGGUUCUGAGAGGAAGGUCCCCCACAUUGGAACUGAGACACGGUCCAAACUCCUACGGGAGGCAGCAGUGAGGAAUAUUGGUCAAUGGGCGAUGGCCUGAACCAGCCAAGUAGCGUGAAGGAUGACUGCCCUAUGGGUUGUAAACUUCUUUUAUAAAGGAAUAAAGUCGGGUAUGCAUACCCGUUUGCAUGUACUUUAUGAAUAAGGAUCGGCUAACUCCGUGCCAGCAGCCGCGGUAAUACGGAGGAUCCGAGCGUUAUCCGGAUUUAUUGGGUUUAAAGGGAGCGUAGAUGGAUGUUUAAGUCAGUUGUGAAAGUUUGCGGCUCAACCGUAAAAUUGCAGUUGAUACUGGAUGUCUUGAGUGCAGUUGAGGCAGGCGGAAUUCGUGGUGUAGCGGUGAAAUGCUUAGAUAUCACGAAGAACUCCGAUUGCGAAGGCAGCCUGCUAAGCUGCAACUGACAUUGAGGCUCGAAAGUGUGGGUAUCAAACAGGAUUAGAUACCCUGGUAGUCCACACGGUAAACGAUGAAUACUCGCUGUUUGCGAUAUACGGCAAGCGGCCAAGCGAAAGCGUUAAGUAUUC